UGCUCUGAUGAUAUCUAAUAGGAAGUGCCGUCAGAAGCGAUAACUGACGAUAACUACUCCUGGCUGACU
Non-coding RNA from Heterocephalus glaber (naked mole-rat), 69 nucleotides. NCBI's taxonomy places the organism in Eukaryota, Metazoa, Chordata, Mammalia, Rodentia, Bathyergidae. The record is from Rfam.